GUCUAUGGCCAUGCCACCCUGGACGUGCCCAGUCCCAUCUGAUCUCGGAAGCUAAGCAGGAUCGGGCCUGGUUAGUACUUGAAUGGGAGACCACCUAGGCUCAGGGUCUCUCCUGAGGCU
RNAcentral lists this ribosomal RNA (120 nucleotides) under Pteropus alecto (black flying fox). The record is from RNAcentral. Lineage: Eukaryota; Metazoa; Chordata; Mammalia; Chiroptera; Pteropodidae.